This 373-nucleotide ribosomal RNA is filed under the name uncultured bacterium. RNAcentral describes it as "bacterial SSU rRNA". It matches the Rfam family "Bacterial small subunit ribosomal RNA", at positions 523 to 898 of the family's 1533-position model. The record is from RNAcentral.
AUACGUAGGUGGCAAGCGUUGUCCGGAUUUAUUGGGUUUAAAGGGAGCGUAGGUUGACAUAUAAGUCAGCUGUGAAAGUUUACGGCUCAACCGUGAAAUUGCAGUUGAUACUGUAUGUCUUGAGUGUACAAGAGGUGGGCGGAAUUCGUGGUGUAGCGGUGAAAUGCUUAGAUAUCACGAAGAACUCCAAUUGCGAAGGCAGCUCACUGGGGUACAACUGACACUGAGGCUCGAAAGUGUGGGUAUCAAACAGGAUUAGAUACCCUGGUAGUCCACACAGUAAACGAUGAAUACUCGCUGUUUGCGAUAUACAGUAAGCGGCCAAGCGAAAGCAUUAAGUAUUCCACCUGGGGAGUACGCCGGCAACGGUGAA